RNAcentral lists this ribosomal RNA (498 nucleotides) under uncultured bacterium. RNAcentral's name for it is "bacterial SSU rRNA". It matches the Rfam family "Bacterial small subunit ribosomal RNA", at positions 28 to 523 of the family's 1533-position model. The record is from RNAcentral.
GAUUAACGCUGGCGGCAUGCCUAAUACAUGCAAGUCGAACGGAAGCAGCAAUGCUUUAGUGGCGAACGGGUGAGUAACACGUAGGGAACCUACCUAUACGACGAGGAUAACUACUGGAAACGGUAGCUAAAACUGGAUAGGAUCAAUUGAGGCAUCUUGAUUGAUUUAAAGAUCCUUCGGGAUUACGUAGAGAUGGCCCUGCGGCGCAUUAGCUAGUUGGUGAGGUAACGGCCCACCAAGGCGACGAUGCGUAGCUGAGCUGAGAGGCUAAACAGCCACACUGGGACUGAGACACGGCCCAGACUCCUACGGGAGGCAGCAGUAGGGAAUUUUCGGCAAUGGGGGAAACCCUGACCGAGCAAUGCCGCGUGAACGAUGAAGGUCUUCGGAUUGUAAAGUUCUGUGAUUGGGGAAGAAUGGUAUUCUUAGGGAAUGAGGAGUACAUGACGGUACCCGAUUAGAAAGCCCCGGCUAACUAUGUGCCAGCAGCCGCGGUAA